AUUGCCCCAAAAACAUAAUCCGUACAGACUACAGCCCCUACCAUGAUUGAGAUCAUUCUAAGGCAUUCACCUCUUAUCAAGGAGCGUGGAUCGUCUGCUGUGCACCACAUGGUGCGGUGAACAACACACACCAUCCAUUGCACGAUGGACGGCCGCACACAACAGCAUGCAACGAGCACGCAUCCAUGCAUAACCAUCUAUCAUGCAAUAAACAGUGCGUUGUGCAUCACAUUGUGCGGUGCACAGCAGAGAACCCGGGCUCCUUAUCAAAACGGUCACUCCCUCGCUCCC
RNAcentral lists this long non-coding RNA (291 nucleotides) under Elaeis guineensis (African oil palm). RNAcentral describes it as "long non-coding RNA (EGUI_LNC073885)". Lineage: Eukaryota; Viridiplantae; Streptophyta; Magnoliopsida; Arecales; Arecaceae. The record is from RNAcentral.